RNAcentral lists this ribosomal RNA (433 nucleotides) under uncultured bacterium. RNAcentral's name for it is "partial 16S ribosomal RNA". It matches the Rfam family "Bacterial small subunit ribosomal RNA", at positions 29 to 507 of the family's 1533-position model. The record is from RNAcentral.
AACGAACGCUGGCGGCAUGCCUAACACAUGCAAGUCGAACGAGACCUUCGGGUCUAGUGGCGCACGGGUGCGUAACGCGUGGGAACCUGCCCUUAGGUUCGGAAUAACUCCCCGAAAGGGGUGCUAAUACCGGAUAAUGUCUUCGGACCAAAGAUUUAUUGCCUUUGGAUGGGCCCGCGUUGGAUUAGCUGGUUGGUAGGGUAAAAGCCUACUAAGGCGACGAUCCAUAGCUGGUUUGAGAGGAUGAUCAGCCACACUGGGACUGAGACACGGCCCAGACUCCUACGGGAGGCAGCAGUGGGGAAUAUUGGACAAUGGGCGAAGGCCUGAUCCAGCAAUGCCGCGUGAGUGAUGAAGGCCUUAGGGUUGUAAAGCUCUUUUACCCGGGAUGAUAAUGACAGUACCGGGAGAAUAAGCUCCGGCUAACUCCGUG